AGUGAACGCUGGCGGUAGGCCUAACACAUGCAAGUCGAACGGCAGCACAGUAAGAGCUUGCUCUUACGGGUGGCGAGUGGCGGACGGGUGAGGAAUACAUCGGAAUCUACUUUUUCGUGGGGGAUAACGUAGGGAAACUUACGCUAAUACCGCAUACGACCUACGGGUGAAAGCAGGGGAUCUUCGGACCUUGCGCGAUUGAAUGAGCCGAUGUCGGAUUAGCUAGUUGGCGGGGUAAAGGCCCACCAAGGCGACGAUCCGUAGCUGGUCUGAGAGGAUGAUCAGCCACACUGGAACUGAGACACGGUCCAGACUCCUACGGGAGGCAGCAGUGGGGAAUAUUGGACAAUGGGCGCAAGCCUGAUCCAGCCAUACCGCGUGGGUGAAGAAGGCGUUCGGGUUGUAAAGCCCUUUUGUUGGGAAAGAAAAGCAGCAGGUUAAUACCCCGCUGUCCUGACGGUACCCAAAGAAUAAGCACCGGCUAACUUCGUG
Molecule: ribosomal RNA, 492 nt
Filed under: uncultured bacterium
Lineage: Bacteria
Description: partial 16S ribosomal RNA
Rfam family: Bacterial small subunit ribosomal RNA
Source: RNAcentral